Molecule: long non-coding RNA, 401 nt
Filed under: Bubo bubo (Eurasian eagle-owl)
Lineage: Eukaryota; Metazoa; Chordata; Aves; Strigiformes; Strigidae
Description: lncRNA (ENSBOBG00000006792.1)
Source: RNAcentral
CAGACACGGAGGGCAGCCUCUCCCGGGGAGGACAGGUUGGCAGUGAGGAAGCGGAGCUGGAGCGAUUCCCCGGCCCAGGUGAGAGGAAGAUGAAGGUCCUGCUGACGCUGGCAGUGCUGUCUGCCUGCAGUGUGUUCACAGCUCGUGGGAAGCUCCUGCACCCAUUCACACCAGGACUCGAGGGAAGCACCGUCGGAAAUCUGACUGCCCACGGUUGCUACUCGGGAUGGGGCAGCAACCGCACGUCGAAGGCUUCAAUGGACCGGUGCUGCCUGCUCCGUGCCUGCUGCUACGCCAGGCUGGCAGCACGGCGGUGCCGCGUGGGACCCAUCCAGCCCCUCUCGGUGCCCCGGGCAGGAAUCCCCACCUGCAGUGAGUCCUCGCAGUCGCGGUUCGCGAUG